RNAcentral lists this ribosomal RNA (294 nucleotides) under uncultured bacterium. RNAcentral describes it as "partial 16S ribosomal RNA". It matches the Rfam family "Bacterial small subunit ribosomal RNA", at positions 775 to 1067 of the family's 1533-position model. The record is from RNAcentral.
GGAUUAGAUACCCUGGUAGUCCACGCUGUAAACGCUGUCGACUAGCCGUUGGCCUUAUUAAGAAGGUUCGUGGCGCAGCUAACGCGAUAAGUCGACCGCCUGGGGAGUACGGCCGCAAGGUUAAAACUCAAAUGAAUUGACGGGGGCCCGCACAAGCGGUGGAGCAUGUGGUUUAAUUCGACGCAACGCGAAGAACCUUACCUACUCUUGACAUCCUGAGAACUUGCUAGAGAUAGCUUGGUGCCUUCGGGAGCUCAGUGACAGGUGCUGCAUGGCCGUCGUCAGCUCGUGCUG